CGGGGGGGCAAGCGUUGUUCGGAAUUACUGGGCGUAAAGGGCUCGUAGGUGGCCAACUAAGUCAGACGUGAAAUCCCUCGGCUUAACCGGGGAACUGCGUCUGAUACUGGAUGGCUUGAGUAUGGGAGAGGGAAGCGGAAUUCCAGGUGUAGCGGUGAAAUGCGUAGAUAUCUGGAGGAACACCGGUGGCGAAGGCGGCAUCCUGGACCAUUACUGACGCUGAGGAGCGAAAGCCAGGGGAGCAAACGGGAUUAGAUACCCCGGUAGUCCUGGCCCUAAACGAUGAAUGCUUGGUGUGGCGGGUAUCGAUCCCUGCCGUGCCGAAGCUAACGCAUUGAGCAUUCCGCCUGGGGAGUACGGUCGCAAGGCUG
Molecule: ribosomal RNA, 371 nt
Filed under: uncultured organism
Description: bacterial SSU rRNA
Rfam family: Bacterial small subunit ribosomal RNA
Source: RNAcentral